AACUGUCAGUCGUCCAGCUG
RNAcentral lists this small nuclear RNA (20 nucleotides) under Arabidopsis thaliana (thale cress). RNAcentral describes it as "snRNA_11943". Lineage: Eukaryota; Viridiplantae; Streptophyta; Magnoliopsida; Brassicales; Brassicaceae. The record is from RNAcentral.